GAUGAACGCUAGCUACAGGCUUAACACAUGCAAGUCGAGGGGCAGCGCAGUGUAGCAAUACAUGGGCGGCGACCGGCGCACGGGUGCGUAACGCGUAUCCAACCUUCCCGUUACUCAGGGAUAGCCUUCCGAAAGGGAGAUUAAUACCUGAUGGUGUUCAAAUUCCGCAUGUUAUUUGAACUAAAGAUUUAUCGGUAACGGAUGGGGAUGCGUGACAUUAGGUAGAUGGCGGGGUAACGGCCCACCAUGCCUACGAUGUCUAGGGGUUCUGAGAGGAAGGUCCCCCCACAUUGGAACUGAGACACGGUCCAAACUCCUACGGGAGGCAGCAGUGAGGAAUAUUGGUCAAUGGGCGAAAGCCUGAUGCAGCGACGCCGCGUGAGCGAAGAAGUAUUUCGGUAUGUAAAGCUCUAUCAGCAGGGAAGAAAAUGACGGUACCUGACUAAGAAGCACCGGCUAAAAUACGUG
This 468-nucleotide ribosomal RNA is filed under the name uncultured bacterium. RNAcentral's name for it is "bacterial SSU rRNA". It matches the Rfam family "Bacterial small subunit ribosomal RNA", at positions 28 to 507 of the family's 1533-position model. The record is from RNAcentral.